This 22-nucleotide non-coding RNA is filed under the name Arabidopsis thaliana (thale cress). Lineage: Eukaryota; Viridiplantae; Streptophyta; Magnoliopsida; Brassicales; Brassicaceae. The record is from RNAcentral.
UUGGUUCAAUUCUGGUGUUGAG